UUCCGGUUGAUCCUGCCGGACCUGACUGCUAUCGGAUUGAUACUAAGCCAUGCGAGUCUUUGUAGUAAUACAAGGCAUACGGCUCAGUAACGCGUAGUCAACCUACCCUAUGGACAAGAAUAAUCUCGGGAAACUGAGCAUAAUUCUUGAUAGACCAUAAUGCCUGGAAUGGUUUAUGGUUAAAACGAUUCGUCGCCAUAGGAUGGGACUGCGGCCUAUCAGCUUGUUGGUGAGGUAAUGGCCCACCAAGGCGAUUACAGGUACGGGCUCUGAGAGGAGAAGCCCGGAGAUGGGUACUGAGACAAGGACCCAGGCCCUAUGGGGCGCAGCAGGCGAGAAAACUUUGCAAUGUGCGAAAGCACGACAAGGUUAGUCCGAGUGAUUUCUGCUAAAGAGAUCUUUUGCUAGUUAUAAAACCACUAGUGAAUAAGGGGUGGGCAAGUUCUGGUGUCAGCCGCCGCGGUAAAACCAGCACCUCAAGUGGUCAGGAUGAUUAUUGGGCCUAAAGCAUCCGUAGCCGGCUCUGUAAGUUUUCGGUCAAAUCUAUGCGCUCAACGUAUGGGCUGCCGAAAAUACUGUAGAGAUAGGGAGUGGGAGAGGUAGACGGUACUCGGUAGGAAGGGGUAAAAUCCUUUGAUCUAUCGAUGACCACCUGUGGCGAAGGCGGUCUACCAGAACACGUUCGACGGUGAGGGAUGAAAGCUGGGGGAGCAAACCGGAUUAGAUACCCGGGUAGUCCCAGCUGUAAACGAUGCAGACUCGAUGAUGCAUUGGCAUAUAGCCAGUGCAGUGUCGCAGGGAAGCCGUUAAGUCUGCCGCCUGGGAAGUACGUACGCAAGUAUGAAACUUAAAGGAAUUGGCGGGGGAGCACCACAAGGGGUGAAGCCUGCGGUUCAAUUGGAUUCAACGCCGGG
This 914-nucleotide ribosomal RNA is filed under the name uncultured marine archaeon. RNAcentral's name for it is "bacterial SSU rRNA". It matches the Rfam family "Archaeal small subunit ribosomal RNA", at positions 1 to 922 of the family's 1478-position model. The record is from RNAcentral.